This 485-nucleotide ribosomal RNA is filed under the name Bacteroidales bacterium 'ARUP UnID 295'. RNAcentral's name for it is "bacterial SSU rRNA". It matches the Rfam family "Bacterial small subunit ribosomal RNA", at positions 27 to 504 of the family's 1533-position model. Lineage: Bacteria; Pseudomonadati; Bacteroidota; Bacteroidia; Bacteroidales. The record is from RNAcentral.
GGAUGAACGCUAGCGACAGGCCUAACACAUGCAAGUCGAGGGGUAGCAGGAUGUAGCAAUACAUUGCUGACGACCGGCGCACGGGUGAGUAACACGUAUGCAACCUACCUUCUACAGGGGAAUAGCCCGGAGAAAUUCGGAUUAAUACCCCAUAACACAGGGAUACCGCAUGGUAAUAUUUGUUAAAGAUUUAUCGGUAGAAGAUGGGCAUGCGUUCCAUUAGCCAGUUGGUGAGGUAACGGCUCACCAAAGCAACGAUGGAUAGGGGAACUGAGAGGUUUAUCCCCCACACUGGUACUGAGACACGGACCAGACUCCUACGGGAGGCAGCAGUGAGGAAUAUUGGUCAAUGGACGAGAGUCUGAACCAGCCAAGUCGCGUGAAGGAUGACGGCCCUACGGGUUGUAAACUUCUUUUGUAUGGGAGUAAAAAAGACUACGCGUAGUCUAUUGCAAGUACCAUACGAAUAAGCAUCGGCUAACUCC